This 261-nucleotide long non-coding RNA is filed under the name Elaeis guineensis (African oil palm). RNAcentral's name for it is "long non-coding RNA (EGUI_LNC025331)". Lineage: Eukaryota; Viridiplantae; Streptophyta; Magnoliopsida; Arecales; Arecaceae. The record is from RNAcentral.
CCUGCGAUACCGACAAAAGUGUUAAUCAAAGAACCGGACUAAGGGCCGAAUGAAAAGGAGACCGGGGGAUCGGGCGAUACCUAGUCGGGGGACCAAGCUCAAGCCGGCGUCAUAGAGAGCUUGUUCGGUAACAAGCUCCCUCUGCUUCGGGACCGACAUAUCUUUUAGUCGGUGGAAGUCCUCCCGGUCGUCCGCCUCCACCCGGCUGUUGUCAUUGGCUUCAGUUCGAGGCACGCCCCAGUGGGAAGGAAAGCCCCAAGA